UCGGAUAGAAUCUGAGCAGAAAGAAGACGACUUCAAUCCCGCACCAAUCUUGCCAUCUCGUCACCCCCCUACUGUCCAAGAAUCCUUUGUAUGGCUGAAAUGACUGCUCUGUCUUACUAUGAAGAGAAAAGACGUGAAAGAGAAAGAGCCAACCAAGAGAAGGCCAUGAUUAUGUCCGACAAGGUAGUGAUGUCGGGAACCCUGGAAGACAGAAAACUCCGAGCUGUGGAGAAAGCCAAGCAGCCGUAGACCGAUGACGGGACGAGGUCCCGUCAAACAUCUGGAAAGGCCCCGGUCCUAGCCGGAAAAAAGACUAAAACUCUUACUUCGGAGAUGAGGACUCCCAACAAGAAUGCUUCCAGCAAGGACCCUUCGAGGCGAGAUGGUGACAGAAAAAGAAAUCAGCCGGAAGAUGACACUCGUUCUUCUGUGCGCACUUCUCGAGCUCGAACCGAAGAGAAAUCUGUUGGCGCAAGCAAACAGAAGGGUAAGAGGAAAAAAGGUUCACAUGACCUUGUGGUCCUUUCUUCUCGAGAGUCGAGGACCCGCAAUUCGGAAUGUCGAAACACAACUCCUCCUCCAGGUAAUCGACUCUACCUCUAAAUUUGCUUUUACUCGAUUGUGACUUUAAGAAAUGGCUUUCACACCAUCCUUCUUUAUCCCAGCUCUUUCUUUAACCAAAUCUAAGUGCCACCGCAACAGAGACUCUCAAGCUAACCUAGUCCCAGACUCAAUCACCAUUGACGAGAGCUAACCUAACAGGCAUUACGAAUCAACAAGUUAAAGCCAAAACGCUCCCUGCAACCAAUACCUUGGUACAGGGUCACGAAUCUCUGGAAUUAGUGGUUCAGACAUUUCAUCGAACACCUUUUGGGUGCGGAAAUGUCUGGGCUCAAAUUCCAGUUGAUCAGAAAGCAAUAGGCAUUAAGAAAAACUAAUCCAGAAGGGAUCUAUCAACCAAUACUCAAUCACCUCGUAUACUGAGAAUUCUACACUACUCUAACCCAUCCUCAGAAACAUAUUCACUACUCAGACAUCAUAACAGAAAGCAUAAACGUUGAACAAAUUGAAAACAUGAUAACAACAAUGUAACAGCAGGAUGAUAACAGAAUGAACAACAGUAAACGAAAUCAAGAACAGAAAUUGAAUACUGAAUACUGAAUAGAUAAAGAGAAAUCCGGAUUACAAAAAGUCUAGAACACAUUGUCUCCAAAAAUGUGAAGUACAUGCUACUUAUAGCCAAAUAUCCCGAAACCAUAAUACUCAAAACGACGAAGUAUUGGGACGGGUUAAGAACAGUACUCGACCCACGUGGUCGAGUGAGAGGUCGAGUGAAUAGCUGGAGUCUUCUUUUCUUCCUUGUGCUCGAGUGUCUGGUUGAGUGCAGAAUGAAGAAGGCUCUGAAGCUUGUCACCAAGUAUGCAGUCGAGUGGUGGUGAUGGUGAUACUCGACAUCCAGGUAGAGUGAUGAGGUCGAGUAGAGGUCUGGCAAUGGGAUGAAGUCAGUCGGCCUGGGGGUCGAGUGAUAUGAUCGAGUGGUGUCAGAAGAUACUCGACUUCUAGGUUGAGUGACGAGGUCGAGUGGUGGUCUGAUGAUGGAGGUGAAGACACUCGACCUCAUGGUUGAGUGAUGUGAUCGAGUGAUGGUCUGGUGAUGGAGAUGAGGGCACUCGACCUCGUGGUCGAGUGGUGAAGUGAAGUGGUGAUGUCCUCUGCUCGACCUGGGGGUCGAGUGGUCUCUUGAGAUCUUGAAGCUCCUACUCGACCUCUUGGUCGAGUGGUUUGUCAUGAUCAGGUCCGCUUCUUCCAGAUAGCUCGUCAACAGCUCCAAAUCACCUGAAAUCAACGCAAAUAUGCAACAUGCAUGCAAAACUAUCCUAAACAUGCAAAGUGAUGACAAAUGAUGUGAAAUGGUAUAAAACAGUGAUUAUAUGAUGCUAAAAUGAUGACAAAUGGAUGCUCAAAACAUGCAAAAUACACACUUAUCAACUCCCCCAAACUUAGUCUUUGCUUGCCCUCAAGCAAACAAUCAAGAACAAGCUGGAGGUGAGGUUUGGAAGCGGGGACUCAGAGCCAAAACACAAGAUAGACCAGAUGAAAUCAAUGUCCAAGUUGAAAGUUCUAAGCUGCAAGAUCGAAUUCUACUUAAAAACGUUAACCAUGCCUCAUCAAUCAAUCAAUCCGACUCAUAUGCUCGACCUACACAAGUUUUCAAAUCUACCAAUCCCUUUAACAUUCAUUAGUUCUGGAACGUGAAUCAAGCAAUGCAUCAUCAAAGAACUCAUUUGGCUAAGGUAAAAGGUCAAGAGACAAAGAUGGUCCCUUACAGAAUAUGCUUCUGUAACAGGGGAUCUCUCAAAAAAUGAUUAACCUUUAGUAGAAUGCUAAAGGUAAGUCCCGAGCUAUGCAUAUAGAGAUAAGAUCCCAUCUACCCAGAGUAUGUCAAAUGAAGCUCUAAUGGUAAUCCCAUCUCCAAUCCCAAUAUAAGAACUUAACUCUACCCUUUGCAUUCAUGAAUCUUUUAAGCCCUUUUUCUAAUCAUUCUUUUCUUUUCUCUUAACUCUAGGAGAAGUUUUCUCAACACUUUGAUACAUCUAGCGGAUUUGGAUUUCUUUAACAACUAAGGUUCUUGUUUUUAACAUUUUAAAACCAAGGGCUUUUGCCCAUCUUCAAUAGCUAUCAAGAACUCUUUCUUUUCUUUACAAAUCCCAAAACCUUUACUAGACUUUUUCUGCUUCUUUAGCUUACUUCACCUAGAGUCUUUUACCUUUUCUUAUCAAUGAAUCAACCCCCUUUUUUCUUUUUUCUUUUAAACACAUCCCAACCCAAAGUAUAAGCGCCCACCUAGUCCUAUCUAGUCCGAAAAAUGCGAACUAGAACUACAUGAGACACUAUCUCUGUCGUUACGAACCUAACACUUUCUACCAAGCUUAAUCGGAAUAAGACCUCUCAAACACUCACAAGUGAUAUAGGGCUUGAAAGAAAGUUUAGGUUUGGGUUUGGGUUAACUGCUCUAAUAAGGAGAGUCAGCUACUUGGAUUAACAAGAGUGAUCAAAAUGAAUAAGAAAAUCCAAGUAUUUUAGGGUAUCCAUGAGUUCAAAUUUGAUGCAGACAUGAUAAUUAAAGAUCAGAUUCAGGUUCAAAUUGAUAGGGAACUGUAUCAGAUCAUGACAGUGUGGUCGAGUAGAGCAAUCUAGGCAUGGUUCAGUUUUAUUUCAAAUUCAUUGACUAUGCAACAGACAACUAGCAACGAGGGCAAUGAGUUUAUCCGGUGAAUCAAAAUGCUUACAAGGCUAUCUCAUCAUCAUCCCCUAUGCAUAUGCAACAAUCCUAAAUGAAACACUCUAGACUCGAUCCUAAAUGUGAUGCAACUACAUGAGCACUCUUUAUUUUGUGAAAUCAUUUU
RNAcentral lists this small RNA (3407 nucleotides) under Arabidopsis thaliana (thale cress). Its description in RNAcentral is "ATSL272100". Lineage: Eukaryota; Viridiplantae; Streptophyta; Magnoliopsida; Brassicales; Brassicaceae. The record is from RNAcentral.